CCUACGGGGGGCUGCAGUAAGGAAUAUUGGUCAAUGGAGGAAACUCUGAACCAGCCAUCCCGCGUGAAGGAUGAAGGGGCUCUGCCUUGUAAACUUCUUUUGUCUGGGGCGAAAAAGCUCGAUUUAUCGAGAACUGACGGUACCAGAAGAAUAAGCACCGGCUAACUCCGUGCCAGCAGCCGCGGUAAUACGGAGGGUGCAAGCGUCACUGGGAAUCACUGGUUUGUAGGGGGCUGUAUAAGUCAGUGGAGAAAGGCUGUGGCUUAACCAUGGAAUUGCCAUUGAUACUGCAGAGCUUGAAUGAGGUUGAGGUUGGCGGAAUGUGACAUGUAGCGGUGAAAUGCUUAGAGAUGUCAUGGAACACCGAUUGCGAAGGCAGCUGACUGGACCUAUAUUGACGCUGAGGCACGAAAGCGUGGGGAGCGAACAGGAUUAGAUACCCUUGUAGUC
This 450-nucleotide ribosomal RNA is filed under the name uncultured bacterium. Its description in RNAcentral is "partial 16S ribosomal RNA". It matches the Rfam family "Bacterial small subunit ribosomal RNA", at positions 338 to 795 of the family's 1533-position model. The record is from RNAcentral.